CGGGUGAGUAAUGCGUGACCAACCUGCCCCAUGCUCCAGAAUAGCUCUUGGAAACGGGUGGUAAUGCUGGAUGCUCCAACUUGACGCAUGUCUUGUUGGGAAAGUGUUUAGUGGCAUGGGAUGGGGUCGCGUCCUAUCAGCUUGUAGGCGGGGUAAUGGCCCACCUAGGCUUCGACGGGUAGCCGGCCUGAGAGGGCGGACGGCCACAUUGGGACUGAGAUACGGCCCAGACUCCUACGGGAGGCAGCAGAU
RNAcentral lists this ribosomal RNA (252 nucleotides) under uncultured Gardnerella sp. RNAcentral's name for it is "partial 16S ribosomal RNA". It matches the Rfam family "Bacterial small subunit ribosomal RNA", at positions 103 to 354 of the family's 1533-position model. Lineage: Bacteria; Bacillati; Actinomycetota; Actinomycetes; Bifidobacteriales; Bifidobacteriaceae. The record is from RNAcentral.